UUCUGGCUCAGGAUGAACGCUAGCGACAGGCCUAACACAUGCAAGUCGAGGGGCAGCACAAGGAGCAAUCUGAGGUGGCGACCGGCGCACGGGUGAGUAACACGUAUGCAACCUGCCUGUAAGCGGGGAAUAACCCGUUGAAAGACGGACUAAUACCGCAUAAUACUAAAUUACUGCAUGGUAAUUUAUUUAAACAUUUAUGGCUUACAGAUGGGCAUGCGCAUGAUUAGCUAGUUGGAGAGGUAACGGCUCCCCAAGGCAACGAUCAUUAGGGGUUCUGAGAGGAAGGUCCCCCACACUGGUACUGAGACACGGACCAGACUCCUACGGGAGGCAGCGGUGAGGAAUAUUGGUCAAUGGACGAGAGUCUGAACCAGCCAAGUCGCGUGCAGGAAGAAUGUCCUAUGGAUUGUAAACUGCUUUUGCAGGGGAAUAAAGUGCAUCACGUGUGACGUUUUGUAUGUACUCUGCGGAUAAGGAUCGGCUAACUCCGUGCCAGCCGCGGC
This 506-nucleotide ribosomal RNA is filed under the name uncultured bacterium. Its description in RNAcentral is "bacterial SSU rRNA". It matches the Rfam family "Bacterial small subunit ribosomal RNA", at positions 17 to 518 of the family's 1533-position model. The record is from RNAcentral.